AGUGAACGCUGGCGGUAGGCCUAACACAUGCAAGUCGAACGGCAGCACAGUAAGAGCUUGCUCUUACGGGUGGCGAGUGGCGGGCGGGUGAGGAAUACAUCGGAAUCUACUUUUUCGUGGGGGAUAACGGAGGGAAACUUACGCUAAUACCGCAUACGACCUACGGGUGAAAGCAGGGGAUCUUCGGACCUUUCGCGAUUGAAUGAGCUGAUGUCGGAUUAGCUAGUUGGCGGGGUAAAGGCCCACCAAGGCGACGAUCCGUAGCUGGUCUGAGAGGAUGAUCAGCCACACUGGAACUGAGACACGGUCCAGACUCCUACGGGAGGCAGCAGUGGGGAAUAUUGGACAAUGGGCGCAAGCCUGAUCCAGCCAUACCGCGUGGGUGAAGAAGGCCUUCGGGUUGUAAAGCCCUUUUGUUGGGAAAGAAAAGCAGCAGGUUAAUCCCCCGCUGUUCUGACGGUACCCAAAGAAUAAGCACCGGCUAACUUCGUG
This 492-nucleotide ribosomal RNA is filed under the name uncultured bacterium. RNAcentral describes it as "partial 16S ribosomal RNA". It matches the Rfam family "Bacterial small subunit ribosomal RNA", at positions 29 to 507 of the family's 1533-position model. The record is from RNAcentral.